UGAGGAGCCCAGAAGAAAGGGACAAGCUU
This 29-nucleotide non-coding RNA is filed under the name Rattus norvegicus (Norway rat). The record is from RNAcentral. Lineage: Eukaryota; Metazoa; Chordata; Mammalia; Rodentia; Muridae.